This 229-nucleotide small RNA is filed under the name Marmota monax (woodchuck). The record is from RNAcentral. Lineage: Eukaryota; Metazoa; Chordata; Mammalia; Rodentia; Sciuridae.
AUCAAAGCAGACAAGAGGAGAGGGCAUUGUGGGGGGGGGAGGAAAGAGGGGGGACUGUGGGGAAGUGGGUGACCAGAUUGGAGCUCUUCACAUGCUCUCUGAUUUUUCUUCUCCAUCUGCACCAGUGCUGAGCAUGUGAAGAGCUCCAAUCUGGUCACCCACUUCCCCACAGUCCCCCCUCUUUCCUCCCCCCCCCACAAUGCCCUCUCCUCUUGUCUGCUUUGAUUUU